RNAcentral lists this transfer RNA (71 nucleotides) under Marmota monax (woodchuck). RNAcentral describes it as "tRNA.Ala". The record is from RNAcentral. Lineage: Eukaryota; Metazoa; Chordata; Mammalia; Rodentia; Sciuridae.
GGGGUUGUGGCUCAGUGGUAGAGUGCUCGCCUAGCAUAUGUGGGGCCCUGGGUUCAAUCCUCAGCACCACA